RNAcentral lists this transfer RNA (65 nucleotides) under Cucujoidea sp. 30 KM-2017. Its description in RNAcentral is "tRNA-His". The record is from RNAcentral. Lineage: Eukaryota; Metazoa; Arthropoda; Insecta; Coleoptera.
AUUUAAAUAGUUUAAAAAAAAUAAUAGUUUGUGGAACUAUAGAUAUAUAAAUAAUAUUUUAAAUA